This 439-nucleotide ribosomal RNA is filed under the name uncultured bacterium. Its description in RNAcentral is "bacterial SSU rRNA". It matches the Rfam family "Bacterial small subunit ribosomal RNA", at positions 954 to 1392 of the family's 1533-position model. The record is from RNAcentral.
GCAAAACGCGAAGAACCUUACCUACUCUUGACAUCUAGCGAAGAUUGCAGAGAUGCAGUUGUGCCUUCGGGAACGCUAAGACAGGUGCUGCAUGGCUGUCGUCAGCUCGUGUUGUGAAAUGUUGGGUUAAGUCCCGCAACGAGCGCAACCCUUAUCCUUAGUUGCCAGCACGUAAUGGUGGGAACUCUAGGGAGACUGCCGGUGAUAAACCGGAGGAAGGUGGGGACGACGUCAAGUCAUCAUGGCCCUUACGAGUAGGGCUACACACGUGCUACAAUGGUACGUACAGAGGGAGGCAAGCUGGCGACAGUGAGCGGAUCUCUUAAAGCGUAUCGUAGUCCGGAUCGCAGUCUGCAACUCGACUGCGUGAAGUCGGAAUCGCUAGUAAUCGCAAAUCAGAAUGUUGCGGUGAAUACGUUCCCGGGUCUUGUACACACCG